GUCUACGGCCAUACCACCCUGAACAUCCCUGAUCUCAUCUGAUCUUGGAAGCUAAGCAAAGUUGGGACUGGUUAGUACUUGGAUGGGAGACUACCUGGGAAUACUGGGUGCCGUAGGCU
RNAcentral lists this ribosomal RNA (119 nucleotides) under Microcebus murinus (gray mouse lemur). The record is from RNAcentral. Lineage: Eukaryota; Metazoa; Chordata; Mammalia; Primates; Cheirogaleidae.